RNAcentral lists this ribosomal RNA (353 nucleotides) under uncultured bacterium. RNAcentral describes it as "bacterial SSU rRNA". It matches the Rfam family "Bacterial small subunit ribosomal RNA", at positions 94 to 482 of the family's 1533-position model. The record is from RNAcentral.
AGCGGCGGACGGCUGAGUAACACGCAGGAAUGUACCCCAAAGUGAGGGAUAGCCCACCGAAAGGUGGAUUAAUACCGCAUAUGGUCUUCGGAUUAAAGCUUCGGCGUUUUGGGAACAGCCUGCGCCCGAUUAGAUAGUUGGUGAGGUAAUGGCUCACCAAGUCGACGAUCGGUAGCUGGUUUGAGAGGAUGAUCAGCCAGACUGGAACUGAGACACGGUCCAGACUCCUGCGGGAGGCAGCAGUGAGGAAUCUUCCACAAUGGGCGAGAGCCUGAUGGAGCAACGCCGCGUGCAGGAUUAAGGUUUUCGAAUCGUAAACUGCUUUUAUUAGUGAUGAAUAUGACGGUAACUAA